This 239-nucleotide ribosomal RNA is filed under the name Amanita franchetii. RNAcentral's name for it is "partial ribosomal RNA large subunit". It matches the Rfam family "Bacterial large subunit ribosomal RNA", at positions 1783 to 2025 of the family's 2925-position model. The record is from RNAcentral. Lineage: Eukaryota; Fungi; Basidiomycota; Agaricomycetes; Agaricales; Amanitaceae.
AAAAUCGGAGGCCCCGACUGUUUACUAAAAACACAACACAGUGCAAUCAUAAAUGUGAUAGUAUACUGUGUGAAAUUUGCCCAAUGCCAUUAAUAUAAAUGCGGUCAUAUUACACUGUGACUAAUUGAAAAUCUGGUUAAUAGCGGUCUUAACCAUGNGGAUCCUAAGGUAGCAAAAUAGAUUGGCCAUUAAAUGUGGUCCGGUAUCAAUAAUGUAACGAUGGCCUCACUGUCUCUACA